UUUAAAAAAAUAACAAUAAAAAAAAGAAUAUUGGCAGUUUUACUAAAAAUGAUGGGCUCAAUCGUUGUCGGAGUUGUGACACUCUGCCACCGUCAGCGGGGGGAGCUAGCGAACCAGCCCGCGGGAGAAGCUAACGAGCCGGCCGGCCAGAUCAUCUCACAGAGCCUUCAGCAGACCUGCAGACCACUGCAGCCAACACGGCAGAGUCCAGCAACAACGGCAGAGUAAAGACCCACAGCUUGUGACGCUAACAACACAAGCUGACCAUUUCUACUAUGAAGAGGACUCACCCACGAGCUCAAGAGGAUCAAGACAACAUUUUGUCUUCCAGGCCCUAAAAAAUGGAGUCAACAUAGUGAGCUGUUUUUCUCAAUUUCUGCUUUAUCCACAGUAUGUUCCCAUAUUCACUUGAGACUAAUUAAUUAUUUUUCCUUAUCAUUUUGUACAAUACUAACACUAUAUCAAUGUGUUAGAUCUGGCAUGUUCAUUUAAUAAAAGUUUUCAAAGACA
Micropterus dolomieu (smallmouth bass) is the source of this 510-nucleotide long non-coding RNA. RefSeq lists it as uncharacterized. Lineage: Eukaryota; Metazoa; Chordata; Actinopteri; Centrarchiformes; Centrarchidae. The transcript is spliced from 3 exons. The record is from RefSeq and is a predicted model, not a curated record.